UACGUAGGGUGCGAGCGUUAAUCGGAAUUACUGGGCGUAAAGCGCGCGCAGGCGGUUCGUUGUGUCGGUGGUGAAAGCCCCGGGCUCAACCUGGGAAUUGCAUUCGAGACUGAAUAGCUAGGGUACGGUAGAGGGAAGCGGAAUUUCCGGUGUAGCGGUGAAAUGCGUAGAUAUCGGAAGGAACAUCAGUGGCGAAAGCGGCUUCCUGGACCAGUACCGACGUUCAGGCACGAAAGCGUGGGGAGCAAACAGG
Molecule: ribosomal RNA, 253 nt
Filed under: uncultured bacterium
Lineage: Bacteria
Description: partial 16S ribosomal RNA
Rfam family: Bacterial small subunit ribosomal RNA
Source: RNAcentral